This is a non-coding RNA of Cinara cedri, 3077 nucleotides long. The record is from the annotation of a GenBank genome assembly. NCBI's taxonomy places the organism in Eukaryota, Metazoa, Arthropoda, Insecta, Hemiptera, Aphididae.
UAUAAACUUGUGUGAAAAAUUUUUUUUUUUAUACGUAAGAUACUCAACAGUCAAAAUUUACAAUGAAAUGUUUAAUUGUAAUUUUUAUAAUUUUUGUUACGGUCUUCAUCGACAUAUGCAGAUCAUAUAAGAUAGUUGGUAAAUAUGCAUCAUUUAUGAGAAUUACGAAUAACGGAUGAGUAAUAAAGUCUUAUUUUGUUUUAAUUAAAAAAUAUACACUUUUUAAGUUUGGUAAUGUUUUUAUUAACAUUUUAUAUACAUGAUACGAUUUUCAAAAUAUUUUGACUAGUAUGGUCAUAUUUAGUUUCGACAAAAUAUCGAAAAUUUACAAAUAUUUUAUAAUAAUAUAGGGGUUUUGCAGGAACUACUCGAAUACUUGAAUAUUUUAAAAUUAGGAUAAUAAUUAAUUCGAAUUUAUUUGGAUAUAAGGCUUAAUAUACGUAGUAGACAAAUACGUAUCUAAUAUUCAUAUAUUUGUAUUAACCCUUUCUGCAUUAGUGUCUUAAAUGAUGGACGUUUGAUGACACGAAAUGUUUGGUUAGAUUAAAUACAUAUAAAUAAUUUAGGUAUGAUAGCGUUUAAUAUUUUAUGUGAUAGCAUAACAUGUCUAGUUAAUAGAUAAUGGAAUAAUUUAUCUUUUAUUGUGUAUCAAUUGAUUUAUAGAUAAUAUAAAUCUCGUAAUGUAGUGAUAACAAUUAUUUGUUGUUAUCAGAAACCUUAUACCAAUUGAACCGAAACUUAUAUAACUACAUUAUAAGCUGUGUGGAAACAUUUCGCAGUGAUGUAGCCCGCCUUGACACUAUAGUCUGUCCCAGGAGAGAACGGUCCGCUCUCUGACCAAAUCGAAGCGCUACUGCGCAUCCCCCUGCCGCAACACUAUCCAUUUAUUCCCUCCCGGAUCUAUCGACAGGUUUUGUACACUGCGUUUCAAAUAAUGCACUGUUGUCUGUCGAUAGUCCACUGUUUAUCGCCAAUAUGACAAAAAUGAUAAAUUGUAAUUUUAACGAAUAAAAAAUGAAAUGUUUUAAUAUAAUUAUUUAUUAUUUAUUAAAUAUAUAUCUCUGUGUUAUACCUACUUUAUUAUACCUACUGAAUUAUACCUACAGUGUUCAAUAAGAUAUUAAAUAAAUAAAUAAAUAUGUAUACAAAAAAAACAAAGUCUGGAUUAUUAUAAAAGGUGCUUGUAUAUACGAUAGUUUACGAUUUGAAAAAUUAUCAAGAGGUUAUAAAACAGCAAAGAUAAAUAAACGUGCGAUGCGCGAUGUUUGAUUAUAAUAACAAUUGAAUUUCUACAAAAUAUCCUAGCGGUGUAUAGUCAUAAACCGACGACGGAAGAAAUGACAAUCGGCUAUGUGGAGGGGGAAAACAUGCGCAAAAGCGGACCAUGCUCUCCUGGGACAGGCUAUAGAUGUACUAAUUUUACAAUAUAAUACGAUAAUGCAAACUAUGCUCGUAUGCUUGCUGUACACACGUCACAUAAUCAACGAAUUAACAGAGAAUAAUUUUAUUUAACUUGUAAUUUAUAUUUUGUCCUAAUAGACAGAUCGUAGGUACUAGUAAUAUUAUAUUGGGGCAUCGGGCAGUUAAGUAUACUAGGUACUUGAAUAUUCAGAAUAUAGAUUUACGAGUUCAAAAAAAAAAAUAAUUAACUUGCCAAGCUUUGUGAACAUGAAACUAAUUGUAUAAUUUUCUGUUGCAUUUAAAAAUGAUUACAAUUUUUUUUACUGUAGGCCAGGGUCUCAAUGAGAUGUUUGAGCCCAAAGGUAAGAUACGUUUAAACAUAUCAGAAUACAUCUAAAUCAAAUAUUCUGAAAAUGUAUUCAGAUAUUUUACAUUAAUAAUAUUUUUGAUGUCUAAUAAAAAUAAUUUAAAAUUAAGUCUAUGAUUUUAUAUAUUAUACGAUGUUUAUUAAAUAAUAAUAAUUCUAUUUCAAUAAUUAUCAAUAAUAUGAACUACUUAAUUUAUUUAUUUAAAUUCUUCAGUUCAUUGGCAAAACAUCAGUGCUAAACACACAUUCAUUGGUAGUACUAUUGAUCAUACGAGUAUAAUUUACCUCAGUGCGUGCCACUUCGGCGAGAAGCAUUAUAAUAAUUGUCGGACAAACUUUUCAAAAUUGGUUAUACAAACCACGCACUAACUAAAAAUGUUUUUUAAAACUAAUUGAGGGUUUGCCAUCCAUCCAUCCACCUUUUGAUAAUUCUCUAUUUACAAAAAUACCCAUUUUUUUGUAUUUUUUUUUUUACAAUUUAUUUAGAUAUAUUAUAAAAAGUAAUAAUAUAUAAUUUGUACUAUGGUAAUAAUGUAAGUUGAUAAUAAUUAAGAAAUUAGUAUUUAAUUAAGUAGUGAAAUAUUUGCUAAGAAUAAACCAAAAAUAAUUUAGUAUCUUAAGACAAUUUAUAGUACCUUAAUUUUAGAUUCGGAGCGUAGCGUGGGAUCUAUCGAUUUUACUAUGAUGAAUGGUUUGUUUUUCUGUCCUGAAAAAAAAGAGUGUUAAAACAAAUUUUUAGUUCAGUACAAAGUACUUCAUGUUUAGUUAUCAGUUUUGUCCGAGCGGAGCGUAAACCAUCAAUAGUCUUCAGAAUGUCAUCAAGAGACGAUCCUAGCUUAAUAUUAGAAGGUAACUGGGGUUUGAUGGAACUAGAUAAAGAAGAAAGACUAUGAAUUGGUGAGUUUAUAUCGGUUUCCACGAAAAAGAGAGAAAGGCGCCCGGACCUAUAAGAGAACGGAAAAGUACUAUACGAAAGUUAUAUUGCUGCUUUUGCCUAUAAAAUAUACACAAUUUGUGUACAAAUUAAUUUUACUAAAUAAAAUUUUUGAAAACUUUUGAAAGAUUUAACAAAAAUAUAAAAAUUAUUAAUUUUGAACUAAAUCAUGACGAGAACAAAGAACUGUAAAUUUACAUUUUAAACUUAAUUUACAAUUAUAAAUUUUAAUUACAGAAUUAAAAAAUUACUUGAUUAUAUGUAACUAAAAUAUAAUUUAAUAAUUUUCUAUGGUAUUGGAAAAUAAUAAUUAUUUCUUUUUUUUACUCAAGGCGCUAAUUGGCGUGUAAGUACAUCGGAAUACACUAGUAAGAU